AGUGAACGCUGGCGGUAGGCCUAACACAUGCAAGUCGAACGGCAGCACAAUAAGAGCUUGCUCUUACGGGUGGCGAGUGGCGGACGGGUGAGGAAUACAUCGGAAUCUACUUUUUCGUGGGGGAUAACGUAGGGAAACUUACGCUAAUACCGCAUACGACCUACGGGUGAAAGCAGGGGAUCUUCGGACCUUGCGCGAUUGAAUGAGCCGAUGUCGGAUUAGCUAGUUGGCGGGGUAAAGGCCCACCAGGGCGACGAUCCGUAGCUGGUCUGAGAGGAUGAUCAGCCACACUGGAACUGAGACACGGUCCAGACUCCUACGGGAGGCAGCAGUGGGGAAUAUUGGACAAUGGGCGCAAGCCUGAUCCAGCCAUACCGCGUGGGUGAAGAAGGCCUUCGGGUUGUAAAGCCCUUUUGUUGGGAAAGAAAAGCAGCAGGUUAAUACCCCGCUGUUCUGACGGUACCCAAAGAAUAAGCACCGGCUAACUUCGU
This 491-nucleotide ribosomal RNA is filed under the name uncultured bacterium. RNAcentral's name for it is "partial 16S ribosomal RNA". It matches the Rfam family "Bacterial small subunit ribosomal RNA", at positions 29 to 506 of the family's 1533-position model. The record is from RNAcentral.